RNAcentral lists this ribosomal RNA (254 nucleotides) under uncultured bacterium. Its description in RNAcentral is "partial 16S ribosomal RNA". It matches the Rfam family "Bacterial small subunit ribosomal RNA", at positions 524 to 777 of the family's 1533-position model. The record is from RNAcentral.
GACGAACCGUGCAAACGUUGUUCGGAUUCACUGGGCUUAAAGGGCGCGUAGGCGGACGGUCAAGUCGGGGGUGAAAUCCUGGAGCUCAACUCCAGAACUGCCUUUGAUACUGGCAAUCUUGAGUCCGGAAGAGGUGAGUGGAACUCCUAGUGUAGAGGUGGAAUUCGUAGAUAUUAGGAAGAACACCAGUGGCGAAGGCGGCUCACUGGUCCGGUACUGACGCUGAGGUGCGAAAGCGUGGGGAGCAAACAGGG